GUGAUGGGGUGAAACACUCCUGGCUUUGCCCUCUCGUGCAUGAACAUCUGUACUUCCAGCCAGCUGUUCAGAUUCCUUCCUCGUUAGCACUCAGUGCUGUGCAGUAUCUGCUAGGCACAAGGGGUGUUGUUGAUUUCAAAACCAAACUUUAUCUUGUCCCCUUACAAAGCAACCCUUCCUUCACAUGGAAGCAGUGAGACCACAAGUUGAGACUUCAGUGGGCAGGGCUGGUCAAAUGAAGGAGAGCUGCACCAGGCUGGGUUGUGUGGGGUUCAUGCUUAUCUCAGCCCUUCAACCACCAGCAGAUUCCCAACCAGCCCUCAAAAUCAUGUAGUCAACAACUGCUUUUGGUGGCAGCUCCUGGAAGCUUUAGAUGUUUUGCUACUAUCACCCACAAAACUAUUUUUUUUUUUAACAACGUGAAAUAAUUAAAUCUAUGUUUUGUUUUAGAGGAAAUCUUCUGUUGCUGAAAGAAAAGCAUUUAUCAGUAACGAGAUAAUCUUAGUUCAGAUGCUGUUCUUGUGAGGAAAAUAUUUAAACCUUUUCACCUCCAAACCUACUUUGGCCUCCCUACUUCCCCAUGGGUUUGGUUGUUCCCCCUUUAGCUUUAGUGGGAAAACACAGUGGGUGAUUCCCACUGGACCCGUGCACUUGGCAUCCCAUCUGAGGGUGUUCUAGAUAGAUGCAGUCACUUGGAAUACCAGCAUUACCUGUUCAACUAUAUAAAUACUCAUGUGAGUAUACUAGUCCUAUCAUGAGCAUCCUUGCAAAUUCUUGCCUUUGGUCUGCAGCACCUCUAAUGGAUCUUCAUGUCCCAAGGAGCCACUCACCAAAGGCUUACUGCAAAACCAGCUCUCAGACCAGCUGGGCCAUGUGUUGGAUGUUUGACUAGCACUCCAGCAAUUUAGAAUUGUGUGUAUUAAAAGGAAGGAAGUCCUCAUAAUUUCAAUUUCCUCUGCUUUAUCACACACAGGUAAAGCCACUUCACUCGCUUCCUUCCUCUUUUUGUAAACUCUACAGAUCUGUGUUUGGAAACCUCAGCUUAUUUUUAUGCUAACUGCACACACAUUUAACAUAAUAACUGUGUGUGCACCGUUCGACAAUGGUGAAAUGUGUGUGCAGCACACAGAGCACAGGCACAGAUUGUCAGUUCACCAGCAGAACAAGCGGUUCAGGAGACUGUAGACACAGAUUUCUAUGUGAGGAGAAGACAGCACCCGUCUGCUUCCAGGAGAUACCGUGAGGGUCACUGGUAAACACAGCUCUCCGCCUGAAACAGCCAGCAAGCCUGAGACCGACAGCACUUAGAGCAGUUGCUGCUCCGGCUUCCAUGGCGUGUGGUGGCAGCUUGCAGAACUUAGCGGCAUUGCAGCCUUCCUGGAGGAGACCUGGAAUGAACCAAGGGGUUUGGGGGGGGGGGGGGGGACAGGGCAUCUUUAUGGCAUACCCGGGUGAGGGGAGGAGGAACAUUCAACAUUGCAGUUCUACUUUAGGUAGGGCAAAGAGCUUUCCCUGUGCUGAGGCCAGGUCAGGUGCAUUUGCUGUUUCUUGAGAAAUAAACACUCCUUAUUUGUCUUAUUUGUAAAGCUGCAGUGUUGAUCCAAUCAGAAAUUUACUGGCAGCAUCCCACACAGCUGCUGGGGUUGGCAGGCAUCACUCUGCACCAAGAGAAAAAAGCAAUGCCUAAAAACAGAAGGCAAAAUCUCAAGAAGCACCAAAUGAUUUGGCCUGGCCAGUUUCUUUUUGAGUUAGGCAUUGCAGUAAGUGCCUGUUUCAGGUACCUUGCAGAAUGCAAAGCUGUUCGGUGACCUGAGAACAUCGAUAGCUGAUAGCUGCCUGGCUUGACCCUUCUGGCUGAACUGAGAUGGGGUUUGCACACACACUGCUGACACUGGGGGCUGGCAGUGCUUAGCUCCAUCAGGGGAUUCGAGGCAGAAGCUGUUGCCUGCUGUUUCGGUUCAAUAUCUGCAAGUUGAGAGAGGAGCCAGGGAGUGCUGGGGCUGGACACUGGAGGGUUUUCCAUCUCCAAAGCCCUUUCCCAUAUGGCAGCACUUGAAAGUCAGAGGAGUUAGAUGUGACCAGUGACAUUGGUGACAGAGGCUCAGUGGGGAAGAAGAGUAAACAGUAGGUAGAAAUGCACUGGGUGCUGAUCCAUCAUCUACUAACCCACUAAACCCCAUCCAACAGAUUUUCAGUCCGUUCUUUGCAAUGUAAAGGCUGCCCCGAAGGCCUUGCAGUGCUCUCUCAUCUGCUGUGAGCACUUUACAUCCUUGUGCUACAGUCCCUGUGAUAUCACGUGGGAUGCACAGUACCAAUCAAUUUAAUCUGCCAGGAAAAAAAGAAAAAACACCUCUACAGAUCUCUCAAUUCACAGCAAUUCCAGCCAGCAAUGGGGGAAGGAAAAAAGCUGAAGUGGAUAAACAGUGGGGAUUUCCUCAGGAUUUCAUCUAGAAUGGUUGCAGGCGAGCAACACAGAGGUGCUGAAAACAGCCUCCAAGCAGACAGUGGCUGCCAGGGUCAUCCUGUGUGUGGUGCUGCCCUUCCAGGCAGGAUCCUGGCAGCACACAAAGCCUGCAGCUCCUGUAGCUCUGCCCCAGCUCCCCCGCAGUCUUCCUAAGCCCUGACAUCUAAUCCUAAGGGUGGGGAGCGUGUCCUUGUUGGGGGCUGUGAACUCCUGCCUGAACACUUCACCUUGCCCCUCAGAUGGGCUCCUCACUCGAGCAGCAAAUGCCUGACAUCUCUCAGCCUACAAGGGACAGGCCAGCGGCUCUGAAAGCGCUUUGCUGGAAGCAGUGCAGAGGUCUCCAGCUUCAGGAGGGCAGUGCGUGUUAGACUUGCUUGCAGCAGUAACCUUAGAGGCAGCACAUGCAGCAGCCUGCACUGUAGAAGUAGCAGUGAAAUGGAAAGGUCCUGUGAACACAGGGAGGAGCUCAGAGGUGCCUCUGUUGCAGCAGCAGAGCAGUGCUGCUCCGCACAUACACGGCCAGGCACGGCUCACCACAGCUGGGUGCUGGCACAGGCUGGGGGUGGCCCACAACCUCGUGCCUCCCACAGCUGUCCAGGCACCAGCAGCUGGGUGCAGGCUGCCCUCGUUUCAGGGUGCUUGGAAGCCUCCCCAAGGCAGCCUCCAGCAGCACAUGUGUCUGUAUGCACAGCAGAGUCAGCCCGUUCCUCGUACGAACCACGAGCCAUCAGAGCAAAACCAAUAAACACUGAGCUCUUAGUGCCUCCUGCCUGCUGGAACUGCUGA
This is an RNA transcript of Tympanuchus pallidicinctus (lesser prairie-chicken), 3250 nucleotides long. RefSeq lists it as uncharacterized. NCBI's taxonomy places the organism in Eukaryota, Metazoa, Chordata, Aves, Galliformes, Phasianidae. The transcript is spliced from 4 exons. The record is from RefSeq and is a predicted model, not a curated record.